CGUGUAGGCGGUCAGGUAAGUGGAAUGUGAAAUGCCCCGGCUCGCCCGGGGACCGGCAUCCCAAACUGCCUGGCUUGAGUAUGGGAGAGGAUGGAGGAAUUCCUGGUGUAGCGGUGAAAUGCGUAGAUAUCAGGAGGAACACCGGUGGCGAAGGCGUCCAUCUGGCCCAAGUACUGACGCUGAGGCGCGAAAGCUAGGGGAGCAAACGG
RNAcentral lists this ribosomal RNA (209 nucleotides) under uncultured Latescibacterota bacterium. RNAcentral describes it as "uncultured Latescibacteria bacterium partial 16S ribosomal RNA". It matches the Rfam family "Bacterial small subunit ribosomal RNA", at positions 568 to 775 of the family's 1533-position model. Lineage: Bacteria; Pseudomonadati; Candidatus Latescibacterota. The record is from RNAcentral.